RNAcentral lists this ribosomal RNA (466 nucleotides) under Bacillus sp. LPA12. RNAcentral's name for it is "bacterial SSU rRNA". It matches the Rfam family "Bacterial small subunit ribosomal RNA", at positions 22 to 483 of the family's 1533-position model. Lineage: Bacteria; Bacillati; Bacillota; Bacilli; Caryophanales; Bacillaceae. The record is from RNAcentral.
GCUCAGACGAACGCUGCGGCGUGCCUAAUACAUGCAAGUCGAGCGGACUAAUUGGAGCUUGCUCCAAUUAGUUAGCGGCGGACGGGUGAGUAACACGUGGGCAACCUACCUAUAAGACUGGGAUAACUUCGGGAAACCGGAGCUAAUACCGGAUGACACAAAGGAACUCCUGUUCCUUUGUUGAAAGAUGGCUUCGGCUAUCACUUAUAGAUGGGCCCGCGGCGCAUUAGCUAGUUGGUGAGGUAACGGCUCACCAAGGCGACGAUGCGUAGCCGACCUGAGAGGGUGAUCGGCCACACUGGGACUGAGACACGGCCCAGACUCCUACGGGAGGCAGCAGUAGGGAAUCUUCCGCAAUGGACGAAAGUCUGACGGAGCAACGCCGCGUGAGCGAUGAAGGCCUUCGGGUCGGAAAGCUCUGUUGUUAGGGAAGAACAAGUGCUAGUUGAAUAAGCUGGCACCUGAC